CUUGGAAACCCUGCUGGUAGGGAUUGAUGUCUUUCAUAUGUGUUGAACAAAGUAAUUUCAAAGGGAUUAGGAAGGAGAUUUCCCUUUCCAUCGUAAGGACGAUGUAUGGUUCCAGCCCCUCCAUGAAAAUGAAAGUUAUUUAUCAUCAUUUUGGCUUAGAAUGCAUUUCCAUUCGGGCCUCUGCCACUUCUAAAGCAGGAUGCCAGGACCACAGGCCCGGCCUCCGCUUGCCUCCAUGGCUGAAGCAAUGCUUCUCCAGCGUUCUGCAGCCGCCCGAACGGAGACUAAGUGACGGACUUCUGUGGCUUUUGAGCCUUUGGAAACAUUCCUUCCAAAUCCUGCUGGAGGAGCAGGGGUUGCUAAAACCACAGAUGGAAACUCGACACAGGGAGAGGCCGGGACUCCAGAAAAACUACUUUGGCCUCCGGUGAUGUGUUACCAUCAUGUGGCCCCACCACUCGACUUUACUGGUGCCAAAGUAAGAAGUCCGGUGAGUGGUCCAGGGUCACGGAGGGAGGUGGAGGCAGAUCUGCCUUCCCCGUCGGGGCUCCUUCCUUGACAAGAAACGAGUUGAGGUGCUGGGCUUGUUGAUUGAAAGCUCAGUGGCCUCUCAAUUUAGUGAUCUUUUUCCUGUACCAAAGCUAGUCUUUUUUCCUGAUACAUGAAAACCUCAAGGCUCCUUCUCUCCUUUCCGCCUCUUUCAGAGUCCCCCCCCCCCAUAGAUUCCAUCCUCCUAAAUUCUUUGGGUCAUAUACUAUGCUGUCCUGUGACCAUGCCUCCUGCUAGUGUGUCCCAGCUUCUAGCAUUGGCAAAGAUUUUCUAGAAAGAUUGUGAAGAUGCAGAUCCCCUGGUCUGAGCAUCAGCCUUCAGACGUUCUGGAUCAGGAAUCUGAAGUUUUAAUAGGAGUCCUCUGUGAUUCUGAUGCAGGGGAGCCAGAAAUCUCACCUUAACAAUCUCUCCCUUACAAUCACCCACCUCCACUGGGGGGCAGUUUUCUGCUUGUGUAAUCGAGGUCUUUGGAAUUCCCACCCCAUCAAAUACUAGCUCACCUGAGCUUGGUCACUGAGCAUUUGUUAAAGCUGAUUUCACACCUGUCAAAUCUGAAUACCAGUUCCUAUAUUCUAAGGGGGUCAUGGAAGAUUAAAAACACAAUGUUCAGGGGCGCCUGGGUGGCACAGCGGUUAAGCGUCUGCCUUCUGCUUAGGGCGUGAUCCCGGCGUUAUGGGAUCGAGCCCCACAUCGGGCUCUUCCGCUGUGAGCCUGCUUCUUCCUCUCCCACUCCCCCUGCUUGUGUUCCCUCUCUCGCUGGCUGUCUCUAUCUCUGUCGAAUAAAUAAAUAAAAUCUUUAAAAAAAAAAAACAAUGUUCAGAGUAGUGAAGAGUAGUUCUGACCAUUGGUAGUUACAGAGAAUAGGGCAUAAAAUUUCCUUCUUUGGCGUAGGCAUGGUCUUAAAAAGUGGUCUGGGGAAGACCACAAAUCUCUCGAGGUUUAAAGAAAUUAAUGGCAAGAUAUUAAGCAAGAGGCUACGUAGAGAAAAGGGUAGGAUUUUGACUGAGAGGUUUGCACAGCCCCGUAGAUCCAGGGGGGUGAGCCACAAGUCUGACCCUAGCUAGGUGACCUUGGGCAAGUCACAUGGUCUGUCCGAAGCUCCACUACCCACCUGUAGGAUAGGGGAUGAUAACGGCCGUCCUCACCUGUCCUGCCAGACUGUGGUGCGGAUCAGAUGGAAUAUAUCUAAGCAUUUUGUGGAUUAUCAGCUUCUUCGGAAAUACACGUAAGCUGUUUCCACACCAAAAAUGCAGGUGCCUAAUCCACUGGAUAGUUCUCUCAGGAUAGAAUAAAGAGACCAAUUAAAAAGCAGAUUUUCAGGAAAAACACUGACCAAAAAUAGAGCCGGAGUUGGAUCGGUGCCUCAUGUGGUCAAGAAAAGUAUUCGAUUACUGUCCCUUUAUUUGCCCAUUUCUGGGAGUUGGGGUGUUGCUGUAUCAUGUGAGUAAGGCUUUGAAAUUCCUGUUCUAAUCUUUAGUAGCAACGACACAACCUAUAAUCUCUUCUGUUUUUCCUUU
Ursus thibetanus thibetanus is the source of this 2066-nucleotide long non-coding RNA. The record is from Ensembl. Lineage: Eukaryota; Metazoa; Chordata; Mammalia; Carnivora; Ursidae.